ACCAGUAUGGUGUAGUAGUUUGAACACUGGACUAUGACUCCGGAGACUAGGGUUCAAAUCCCUACUCAGCCA
This is a non-coding RNA of Phrynosoma platyrhinos (Desert horned lizard), 72 nucleotides long. Lineage: Eukaryota; Metazoa; Chordata; Lepidosauria; Squamata; Phrynosomatidae. The record is from the annotation of a GenBank genome assembly.